GCAUGCCACGGACAGCAUGCUCAAUGAUUCUUUCUGGAAUUCUCUGUUGCAGUUGAUCAAAAGUCUCUACUGUCAUCCCACCUGGUCUGCCGGAGUGCCUCCUAUAAAGUUUUUGGCUCCUCUUCUUCCCAGAUACAACAACCUUCUCAGCAUUAACCACUAUGACAAAUGCACCCAUAUCAACACUUGGAGUGUAUGUAGCCAAAUUCUUCCCUCUCAUAUGUAUGGCUAUAGUUGAUGCCAUUCUUCCAAGAAUUUUAUCACUGGCAUCAAUAAUAUACCAUGGUUUAUCAGUGUUCACAUGGUCAGCAGCCUUGGGAUACCAUGUCUCAUUCCAAAUGUCAGGGCCAUCGAUUUCAGAUUCUUCAAACAUCCAUCGCUGGUCAAGAGGAAUAUAUGCAGCUUUGUCUUGGCACCGAAUUUGAGCGGUCCGAUUGUUCCCGGAAAAGGUUAAUGACGACGGCGCUGCCAUGGAAAAACCCAGAAAUGGGGUUUUGUUAGACAACGAUUUCGGUGAAGGGCAAGUGAACAUUAACGAACAAUAGUAGUGAACUGCCAUUCUUUGUUACUCUCUCUUUAGCUCCAAGUAGAUAAGGG
Molecule: unclassified non-coding RNA, 597 nt
Filed under: Hevea brasiliensis (rubber tree)
Lineage: Eukaryota; Viridiplantae; Streptophyta; Magnoliopsida; Malpighiales; Euphorbiaceae
Source: RNAcentral